AACUUCUUAUUUACAAAAUUAUUUACUUCUUUGUAAGAUAUCAUGUAAACAUUUUUUUGGUACAGCUCCAACCACAUAUGAGUACUUAUUUGUUAAAUUUUUUGUAGAAAAAACUUCAAAGAAAUUUAAUAUGAUUGAGUUAUGAAUAAGCUCACAUAAAGAAUUAAGAUAUGAUUUUUUUCAAAACUUUUUAUUCCUAUUCAAUGUUAGAUUCUUAUCCAAAUUUAACUUCAUCAAAUAUUUGGAUGGAAUUUGGGGAGAAAAGAAAUAGUAGGGAUUAAUAAUGAGAAAAUAGAAAUGUAUAUGGGAUACUACUUUACCUGAUUGAGAAAUUUUACACUGAAAAUAAAAUUGUUGGAUUUGGUGUUCUUGGUCUGAAGUUGUUAACUGGAAAGUUUUAUGGAACUUUGCACAUGGGAGCUUUGUUUAUAUAAACAAAAAACCCUAGACCCAAAAAUCAAAGGGUUCCAAUCUUUCUUUUAAUCUAUUAAUUCUCUUUUCUUCUCCACCCAUUCAUCUUAUUUCUUCAAUUAUCAAUUUCUUAGGAGAAUGGCCGAAGAGAGCUUGCGCAUCCUUUGUUUUUGUCUUGCAAUUGUUGUUUGUCACCAGGUAACCCGUGCUUCCUUUCCUCGUUGGGUUUGCUUUUUAAUUGUAAUUACCUAAGACUUAACUCUGUUUGAAUAUGCUUUGUUUGGUUUAUAGAAUUGAAGAUGCAACUGUGUUUGAAUAUAUAUGUGCUCUAUUUGGUUUAUAAACAAAAUAAACCUAAACUUAAGGCGGGUAUAGGCUUUACCUGUUGUGUCAAUGUCAUGUUAGUUCAUACUAUGCUUUUACUCCUCUUGUUGAAAUGUCAAGUUCGGAUCCCAUUACAUUUUGUAUGAUAUUUUCAGGCUAUUAAAUUUUUACAUAGAUAAGCUAAGCUGUACCAUGUAGAGUAAAGUCCAUGUCCUUUUGAAACCUUUCACCUGGACCAGAACCAUUCUAACUAAUGCAGCAUUUGGAUAUUCAUGAAUGGAAUUUGUGUGGAAACUCUGUUCGUUCUGUUUUUUUAUUCUUAAAUGUAUGAUACCUUUUAAAAGAGCACGCAACCUUGAUGGUCAUAUAUUUCGAUGUAAUUUUUAAUCUUUUGUUUAAUUUGUUAAUUACCCGAGGAUUUAGCAGUGUGGGCAAUAUUUGUCAGUUCUAUAUCCACUUUUGUGUGAUAAGUUAAUGUUUGGUAGUUAUGGGUGUUUUAUGCAGAAGGUAAAAUUGAAGCUCCACCAAACCACUCAUCUCAUACCUUACUUUUCUGAAUACAUGGCUAGAUCACACACCGAAUUUAAUCACUGAUAUUUAAGUCAGGACAUUAGUAAUGCGUGCAACAAUCAUAUUAUUUGAAAUAAUAGACAGGAAAACAUCCAAUUAUAUUUCCUUGUUCAGACCAAAUGUGGAUAACAUUAACUUUCCACACCACUGACUUUUUCUUGACUUAAAACCAGUUUAGAAAAUAUGUACUGAUUGUUUUGCCCUCCACUCUUUCCUCGCUACAAAAAGUGCUGUAUCAAUAUUAUAUGAAUUUAUUUAAAUAGUUUAAUACAUUUCUUGAUUGUGGAAUAUCUAAGAUAAUUUUUUAUUCAUAUAUAGAAAAAUGAAUUUUCUCCAAGUAGGUUUGAUAGUGCCAAUAUCAUGGUUCUAUUAUUCAUUAGUUUGGUUAUGUGGAAAACUUCAAUGCCUCGAUGACAAAGGGCAGGAACACAAAUAUGGAAUUCUUGUCAUUUAAUGAUGCAAUGUUGUUCUUGAGUUUUGGAGAUGAUUGAUGGAGGCAGCGGAAGACUUGUAGAAGAUGGAGGUGUGCACCGAGAAUGGGUUUUGGAGGGAGAAGAGGAAUGGACCGUGCUAGGGCCAAGGAAGAGGUUUUCCUUGAGUUUCUACUAUGCCCGAGACCAUAUUAGGAGAGAAUUGGAGAGAGUUUUAGAAAACAAUUUCAUUAAUCCAAGUCUAAGGAAUACAAUGAGAGAAGAUUUAACUUGAGGACCAUUACUUUACUACAACAGAUCCACUAUCCACAACUAAAGAACAUGUCUUGUCCAAAACUUUACAUCUUGUGUGAAAUAGAUUCUCCUGUUGUGAUUGUUCCAGAUUACUAGAAUGGUUACCAAGUAGUCUUUUGACUAUGAAACAUUUCUCACGAAAAGAAUUUUGCAUCAGUUAAGAUCAAAUAAAAAGGAAUGAAUUGAUGUUAAAUGGUUCUAAGAUAUGGAAAUUAAGUCUAUUGGAUAAUAACGUUUUUUUGUAUACGUAAUUGGGAUGGUAAAGGCCUAUAGUUUUCAUAAUUAGAAAAACAUACCUAGAUUUUGGAAUUGUGGAUGUGAUGUUUGAAUGAGUUGUGAAAAUCUUUAUUUUAAUUAAAUAUAAAUUGUUCGGUUAUGAUGCGUCCAACAACAUACAUGUUUAGUAUCACUAUGUCUAUAUAGCUGUGGUGCAGAGACACAUAUUUAAAGCCAGUUAAGUUUUAAAACUGAUUAUAAAACUAGUUCAGUUUUAAAAAUGAUUCUAAAAUAGUUUAUUUAUUCACUCUAUUGAAAGAAUGGAACUUGAGAUCCUCACCUUUGGUAUGACUUGUAUUUAUAUAUGAUAAAAGAUCGGUGAGUUGUUGCACUCAACUGAUGUUUAUUUAUAUUUAUAUAUGUUGGAGAUCCUACAUCGACUAGAGAUUAGGACACUGAAUGCAAACCUUACCUUAUGAGCCGAUUUUAUGAAGUUAAGUUAGACUUAAAAUCCGCUUCUUAAUAAUAUAUAUAUGAAAAGGGAAGAGUACAAUGCGAGGAAAAGUUAUACCAUCUAACACUCAACCCUUAGGCUAGGUACAUACACCCAAAAACAACUGUAUGAAAGUUGUGCAAUAAAGUAACAAUCAUAACUUUAGCACUCCUCUUCAAGCUAGAGCAUAUAAAUUGUAUAUAAAUUGUAUGUGCCAAGCUUGGAAAAUAUAAACUGAAUUAUAGUCCCUCUCAAGGACUUGGAUAUAAAAUUUGUAAGUUGAACAAUGAAGUUGAGUACUGAGUUCCUUGGACAAUAGUGUUUCCCUGAUAAAAUGAUAAUCAAUCUCCAUGUUUGCUCCUCUAAUGAAACACAAUAUUGGAGGCAGUAUAAAGGGUUGUUUGAUUAUCAUAAUACAACUUCAUCUGCUCAACUUCACCAAAUUUCAACUCUUGAUGGACUUGUUCACACAAGUGACCAAGGUCAGAUCUAUAAUCAGAUUCUGCACUGGAUUAGGCAACAGCACUUUUGUUUCUUUCCCUUUGAGGAGACAAUAUUCCCUCCAAUGUAUAGACAUUAUCCUGUGGUGGAUCUUUUGUCAAUGAGACAAUCAAUCCAAUUUGCGUCGUAAUACCCUAUAAUCUGAGUAUUUCCUUUGUCCUCAUAUAACAAGUCUCGUUUUGGAGCCUUUUUCAUAUAUAUGAGAAUGUGAAUUAUAACAGUCCAAUGGUUAAUGUGAGGAUUUUGUAUGAAUUGACCAAUAUCUUCGACGAAAUAUCAGGUAUUAUAACUGUGAGACAAAUGAGUUUUACCAUCAGCCUCCAAUAUCUCUGGAUCUGAAAAAAUAAUUCACCGUGGUUCACCAUCAACUUUUGAUUUGGAUCCAUAUGACUAUCAAUAGGCUUACAAUUUGCCAGCCUUUGUCUCCUCUAGAAUGUUAAGAGCAUAUGUUAAGAGAAUGUUAACAGCUUCCUCUGAUUGAAUCACUCCAAUACCCAAAAAGCAUUUCAGGUAAUCAGGAUCGUUUGUCCUCUCUUUCAAGAACACUGUCAAAGUCUCCAUUUCUUUGCUACUAGAUUCCAUCUUAGUUUGCACUUCUUGCUUCAUGGCAGUCAAUCUUUUGAAGAUGUGACUACCAUAGCUAUUUUUGAAUCUUUUUAUCAAAGGCGUGGAAAAUGAUUCCCAAUCUGAAUCUGGGUUGUCUUGGCACCACCAAAGCAUUGCCGCGCCCUCCAUGAUCAUGAAUGUAUAAUGCAGCUUAUUGAAUGAAGGAAUUUCUUUCACCUCAAAAUUUUUAAACCCUAUCAAUCCAACCAAUUGGAUCUGCCCCCACAAAGGCUGGCAGCUUCCCCAUGGUCCAAAUUUGUGCUUCCUCCAUCUCUAAUAGGGCACUUCGAAGACCCGGCAGGUGGGACCAAUUUGUUAAGAACCAAGAAUUGAAAAGAGAAGAAAAGAAAGAUUUUUUAUUGAAUAGUGAAAAGAAUAAGAAAUACAAGAGCACUCUCUCCUCCAAGGGUUUUCCCAUCACAAAGAGUUAAUGCUCAAUCUAUAAAAUUAACAUCUUUCUCUCUCCUCUCCUUCACCGUGUUUGUUAUAGCAAUGUACUCUUUUUUUCCAUGUAUGUAUAUAUGUAAUUACAAUUUGUAAGUAUAAACACAAAAUUUAUUGCUUAUGAAACUAAUCAUAUCUACAACAUUGAUUUUCUCCUUAAUUCUGCAGUGAAGAUGUGAGCGAAGCUUUGACUGAAAUCUUGAAGCUACCUCUGAUGGGCAAAUGCAAUGUUUGCAGCUUCUCUAAUGUGUCUUCAAUUGCUGUCUUUUCAAGUGCCAUUUUUGUUGUCUUCAAUUGCUGUUAUAUAUCACAGUCGCAGACCUUUGAGCAAAAGGGCUUCAAAGCCUGUUAUUAUUUUAGGAUCAGCUUUUAACUUACUUUCCCUUCUUUUCCAUCCAAAUCAAAACAUUUCAUGACAAGAAAACUCCAUGGCUGCUGAGGUUCUAAUUUUUACUGUGUCAAGAAGUACCUUUCAUUUAGUGAACUCUAUCUAUCUUUUUAUAUUGAUUAAAUGGUGUAUGUUAAUUGCUAUAGCAAUUGGUGCUCAAAAUGUUGUGAGGAAAUAAUGCAACUAUUUUUGUUUGGGGAAUGUAAAUUGGCUGAAGUCCUGUAUAAUUGGAUGUUAAUUAUUGUUGUCCGAUGAUUAAAACGUGACUAUUGUUGUUUGCAAUAGGUAAGGUUUUUUGCAAGCGGCAUCUGGGAAUGUAAUAAUAGCUUAUGAACAAGAAGUUUGUAGUCUUUAAUAGCUGCUACGUUAGUUUUUUUGUUUAUUUCUUGUUGAAACUUUUCCAAUUCUAGACUCUCUGGGACCGGAAAUAGAGAAUAUUUAUCUAAUUUACUAUUUUCUUCUAUUGGCAUACUGGC
Molecule: long non-coding RNA, 5154 nt
Filed under: Phaseolus vulgaris (common bean)
Lineage: Eukaryota; Viridiplantae; Streptophyta; Magnoliopsida; Fabales; Fabaceae
Description: long non-coding RNA (PVUL_LNC004404)
Source: RNAcentral